Molecule: unclassified non-coding RNA, 851 nt
Filed under: Hevea brasiliensis (rubber tree)
Lineage: Eukaryota; Viridiplantae; Streptophyta; Magnoliopsida; Malpighiales; Euphorbiaceae
Source: RNAcentral
GUAUUCUAUUGUUAGGCGCAUAGAAAAGCAAUGGAUUCCAUUGGGAACCAUUUUGGCAGAUAGCUGACUUAAGAAUGUGCUCUAUAUUUUUAAGCUCCUAACUUGGUCAUCUGCUGUUUGAGGCAUCGAUCUGAUCUUUAUGAUUAGAGUGAAAAUUAUAUAUUUGUUGACUUUAGGUUAACUUUGGAUUUUAUUUCUCAAUUUCCUUGAAUUGGUUUUCCUUGUUGAGCAAAAAUUGAAGUAUAAGAGGGGAUAGUUGAGAAAUUUCAAUAAAAUUAAUAUAAACCUGUCCGUUAUAUAUAAUAGGUAUUUGUUUUGAUAUUUUUUUGGUUGGAACGUAUAGAAUCAAUGAUGAGUUUUCUUGAUUAUCUAGAUAAUUUUUAUUUUGCACUCAACCUGUUUGUGUGGAUGUCCAAGUGAAUAAUGGUAUCAUAAUUUGAGACUUUUACCUAUCUCUGUUUUCAUGUGUUAUCAUUUCUUAUAUAAUAAAAAAAUACUUUAAAUUUAUGAAUGCUAUUCAUGCUCAAUAAUCUUUUUACAUUUAGAAUGUAAGGAUUUUGAUUUAUAUUCAAUUUAGACUUUUUUCCCUAGCUCACUCUAUCUUGAGACUUGAGAGUACCAAUUAUUUGAUGACUAUUGGUUGAUUCGGAGGUUUUGGAAGUUAAAGUUAACAGUGUGUCUCUAUGCAUUUAUUAUAAAGAAAAUUUUACUCUGGGUAAAAUAAGUUGUUCUUUAUAACAUGAAGCUCUCUGCUCUGCUCUUUACUUUUAGAAGUAUAGUAGCUUGACCAGAAGUGUUUAAAUAUUUCAGUUAGCAGGUUAUCUAGUCUGGCAUGAUGGGUGGAAGUGCAA